Long non-coding RNA from Xenia sp. Carnegie-2017, 783 nucleotides. RefSeq lists it as uncharacterized. The transcript has 4 exons. The record is from RefSeq and is a predicted model, not a curated record. Lineage: Eukaryota; Metazoa; Cnidaria; Anthozoa; Malacalcyonacea; Xeniidae.
AAUCAAGAUGCUAAAGUUUAUGAUGGGAAAGGAUUUUUCCUCAAACAUAAACUAAACAUGUUGAGCUGUGUUAUUCUUGAGCUUGAUGAAGGAAAUAUCUGUCCUACUUGUCCCAAAUGUAUUCCAAAACUGUGGUAAUACAUAUGCCAGGUUAACAACAUUAUCUGAGAUCCAACAUCCAAGUACAAUCCGUUUGUUGUCAACCAGCAUAUGUGGUCACUUGACACCCAUCUGUCAACACAUAACCUGGACAUCUCAUUGGAUGACAAUCCUCGUUCUUUCAUAAUCUCACUGUAUGGGGUUCUGUACAAAAGCUUCUGAAAGGCUGUAAUUGAAGCAGCUGAUGGAUGUUCCACCACCGUGUCUGGUUUGUUCAAUGGUCGUGAAAACCAGGCAAUUUCCUCUUCGACUUCUACUUGUAUGCUUUUAAGGUGUGAAAUUUCUGCAGAUUGGUGAUGCAAUUGAUAUCUAACCUUCCUUGUGAUGUGUUGAUACAUGCUCCUUUGCUUGUACUUGAUGCCUCAACUAUUUUUCUCCAUUGUUGCAACUGGUCCAUACUUGGCAUAGAUGUUACAUGGCAAGGAUCAACAACUGAAUCAUCAUCUGUACUGCAAUUUACACCUUUGGUAAACCAUUUCUCAAUCUUUGGCAACAAAGACUCAAAAGCCUGACCUCUAGUUAGCUUGCUCAGUACGGGCUCUAUCUUUUUUGAAGCUUUUUUGAGAGACAAAACCUCCAAAUAAAUUAUGUACAUAUAAUUAACAAAACUAAUUUCCAUUUCUA